RNAcentral lists this ribosomal RNA (450 nucleotides) under uncultured bacterium. RNAcentral describes it as "partial 16S ribosomal RNA". It matches the Rfam family "Bacterial small subunit ribosomal RNA", at positions 354 to 796 of the family's 1533-position model. The record is from RNAcentral.
GUGGGGAAUAUUGGACAAUGGGCGCAAGCCUGAUCCAGCCAUACCGCGUGGGUGAAGAAGGCCUUCGGGUUGUAAAGCCCUUUUGUUGGGAAAGAAAUCCUGUCGGUUAAUACCUGGCGGGGAUGACGGUACCCAAAGAAUAAGCACCGGCUAACUUCGUGCCAGCAGCCGCGGUAAUACGAAGGGUGCAAGCGUUACUCGGAAUUACUGGGCGUAAAGCGUGCGUAGGUGGUGGUUUAAGUCCGUUGUGAAAGCCCUGGGCUCAACCGGGGAAUUGAAGUGGAUACUGGAUCACUAGAGUGUGGUAGAGGGAUGCGGAAUUUCUGGUGUAGCAGUGAAAUGCGUAGAGAUCAGAAGGAACAUCCGUGGCGAAGGCGGCAUCCUGGGCCAACACUGACACUGAGGCACGAAAGCGUGGGGAGCAAACAGGAUUAGAUACCCGAGUAGUCC